CCCUUAGAUGUUCUGGGCCGCACGCGCGCUACACUGAUCAGUGCAACAAGCAUCCGUCCUUGGCCGACAGGCCCGGGCAAUCUUUGAACGCUGAUCGUGAUGGGGAUAGACUUUUGCAAUUUUUGGUCUUCAACGAGGAAUUCCUAGUAAACGCAAGUCAUCAACUUGCAUUGAUUACGUCCCUGCCCUUUGUACCCACCGCCCGUCGCACCUACCGAUUGAAUGGUCCGGUGAAGCCUCCGGAUUGGCGCGCACCUCGGUGCCGCCGAGAAGUUGGCUAAACCUUACCAUUUAGAGGAAGGUGAAGUCGUAACA
This 315-nucleotide ribosomal RNA is filed under the name uncultured eukaryote. RNAcentral's name for it is "partial 18S ribosomal RNA". It matches the Rfam family "Eukaryotic small subunit ribosomal RNA", at positions 1470 to 1796 of the family's 1831-position model. The record is from RNAcentral.